Molecule: ribosomal RNA, 253 nt
Filed under: uncultured bacterium
Lineage: Bacteria
Description: partial 16S ribosomal RNA
Rfam family: Bacterial small subunit ribosomal RNA
Source: RNAcentral
UACGGAGGGUGCAAGCGUUAUCCGGAUUCACUGGGUUUAAAGGGUGCGUAGGUGGGCAAGUAAGUCAGUGGUGAAAUCUCCGGGCUUAACUCGGAAACUGCCAUUGAUACUAUCUGUCUUGAAUACCGUGGAGGUCAGCGGAAUAUGUCAUGUAGCGGUGAAAUGCUUAGAUAUGACAUAGAAUACCAAUUGCGAAGGCAGCUGGCUACACGAGCAUUGACACUCAGGCACGAAAGCGUGGGGAUCAAACAGG